AACGCACAUUGCGCCCGUCAGCAUUCUGGCGGGCAUGCCUGUUCGAGCGUCAUUUCAACCCUUAAGCACAGCUUAGUGUUGGGAAUCCGCGGGCUGCCCCGCGGUUCCCCAAAUCCAGUGGCGGGAACGUGUGUGUCCUCUGAGCGUAGUAAGUUCUCUUUUUUCGCUCUGCGAGGCGCCGCGGCCCCUGCCGUAAAACACCCAACUUUUUUUAAUGGUUGACCUCGAAUCAGGUAGGAAUACCCGCUGAACUUAA
RNAcentral lists this unclassified non-coding RNA (256 nucleotides) under uncultured fungus. RNAcentral's name for it is "partial contains 5.8S ribosomal RNA, internal transcribed spacer 2, and large subunit ribosomal RNA". Lineage: Eukaryota; Fungi. The record is from RNAcentral.